CUCGCACAGGUCGCUCCCGUAAACCCCUCGCGCCGCCGCCGAUCCCCUCCUCGUCGGGGCUCCUCCCAUGUCCCACCGCCACGGUCGCCCGCUCCUCCCCCUUCUCCGCCGCCACCUCCACCGCUCCGCCACCUUAUGCCACGCGUCUGUGCCAGUCCCGCCCGACGGGAUCCCCUCCAACUCCUUCCCGUCGUCGUCGUCGCUGUCGUCGUCCCCAUACCCGCCGCCGGAUCCCACCGCGGCGCGCUGGUCGCCUUCUGCGCCGCCGCUUUAUACGUCCGCGGCCUCCCACCUCCGCGAGGCCGUGUCCUCCCUCGCGGCCGCAAUCCUCGCGCUCCCCGGCGCGGACCCCGACCCAUUGCCCGCCCUCUCGGAGCACUCCUUCCCGAUCCUCCUCGCCGUCUCGCCGCUCGCGUCGCUCGAUCUGCUCUCCCUUCUGCGGCACAAGCCCCAGCUCGGCCUUGCGGUCUUCUCGUUCCGCCGGACGCUCUCCCCGCCUCCGACCCUCCCCGAGUUUGUCCUCGCCAUCUCGCUGGCAAGCCGCGCCCGCGACACCGCCGCCGCGGCCGCGCUCUUCGCUGACGCCUCCACCGCCUACUGCCCCGACCAGGCGCUCUACAAUGCCCUCAUGUCCGCGUACAUGCACAGCGGUCUCGCGGACCGCUGCGUCGAGGCCUUCCGCACGCUGGAGCGCGACCCGCGGUGUGGACCGCCCAAUGCGGACUCCUACAACAUCCUCAUCGCCCUCUUUGGCCGCUACCUCCUCGUUGACCACAUGGAAGCCACGCUCCGGUCGCUGGAUGCAUCUGGCCACCCUCGCACAAUUGGGACAUACAAUGCAAUCAUCGCCGGGUACCUCACUGCCUGGAGGUGGGAGAAAAUGGAGUCAGUCUUCAAUGAAAUGGCCUCAAGUCAUGUUGCUCCUGACAACACUACUCAUUUGCUGAUGCUAAGAGGAUAUGCACAUGCCGGGAUGAUCUACAAGAUGGAGCUGGCUUAUGAGAGAGCACGCCAGGAUGUUGGUGAGGUUGAUAUAGUCCAUAUACGUGCAAUGCUAUGCGCAUACUGCAAGUUCAAACACGUUGAUAGGAUUGAAAAAAUCGAUGAGUUGUUGCAGAAGAUGGGUCCUGAUGAUUAUAGACCAUGGCUAGCUGUACUGCUAAUCCAGGCGUACGCCCAGGAAGGAUUGCUUGAGAGGAUGGAGCAGUGGAUUGCGGAGGCACUGAAGCGCAAUACCAUAGUCACCUCAGUGCAGGUGUUGCGGUCCAUCAUAACAAGCUAUUUUCGGUGUGAUGCAGUAGAUAAACUCGCGCAUUUUGUCCGGCAGACUGAGGAGGCAGGGUGGAAGCUUUGCCGGAGCUUGUACCACUGCAAGAUGGUGAUGUAUGGGAAGCAACACCGGUUGCCAGAGAUGCAUGGGGUUUUGGAUGAUAUGGCGGCCUUUCAGUUUGACCGAACAAAGAAGACCUUUUGGAUCAUGUACAAGGCAUAUGCCAGUUGUGGGAGAUGGGCCGAGGCCAACACAAUACUUGGCAUGAUGGGGAAGCAUGGUUUUGGAUUCCCCCAUGACGGGUUUAUUCAAUAACACUAUACAGAUGGAUCAUGGUGGUGGUGAAGGUACUACCAGACUAUAAUAACCUCACAUAGACUAGUUUUGGAUGCUGAAGACUUGAAGAGCCCAAAUGGAGUUAUAUGGAUGCAACAUGACGCCGCUAACACCAUAUGGGCUUUUUAUGCCUUUGAUGCUUAAGACAGCAAAAAGUCAUACAUGGAUCCCUAGAGCUCUGAAGUGUCCCAAAGCAUGGUUGAGAGUUUUAAGCUCUACAUGAUUUAGAAGCUUAAGGACUGUUGAAGUUGAUCUAAGCAAAUGCGCUUUGGAUUCUUGAGAAACUGCUGCUGCUUUCUUCCCAUUCUUGUUCAGUAUAAAGUGAUAAACUGUAACUGGGGAGAAGUGCCUAUCGACAAGAUACACCACCCUCACAAUCAAUUAUGCAGAUAAAUUGUAAGAUGAGGCUUCCCUGCUCAUUGGUCAAAACCUGUCACAGAUGGAAAAUGCAAUCUGAGGUGCCUGCUUGUUUCAUGUUGCACUUUCAGCCUUACCAAAGGUUCUUCCAGGAAAUCAUGGCCAACAUUUACAUGUUUGUGUUUGCAUAUCAACCUCAGCCUAGGAGCCAGACUAUUGAAUUGUUUUGAAGAAUUCAGAAUAUUGGCAGCUUGCUUGGAAGUAAAACUUUGAUGGUCGAGCGUUGGCAAGCAAACUAGGGAGUGUGCUUUGAAGUCUCUAUACAUGAACUCUCUAAUUCUCUAUCUUGAAGCAGAUACAAGAUCCUGCAAGGCACUAGUGAAGAAGAAUGCACUUGGAUGGUUUACUAGCAGCUCAAGUUGUUGUACGAAAGACUGGAUGAUAUCUAUCGUCUGAAUAGAAUGAACAGAAAAGUUGGGGAUACCACUGCCGAUUUCGUAUUUGUUGAAAAUAUCGUUGCGGUGCCAUGGCACUUCAUGUUAUUUCAUUUUCAGGCCAGGAAGCACGCAUACCUUUCAUUUUCCCACCAAUUAACUUUGCACCAGUUUUAAACAUAGGUGCGACGAUUCUUUUGGUAAUCAUACAACUUGUAACCAGCAGAAAAUGUAGUUGUCAAGCAUGCCCUAUUAUUGUCAUGUAUAUUGUCGCUUUGUUCCAUGCAUCAAUGUCUCCCCUUUUUCAGCUGCAAAUAAUUGCAGGUUAUCAUAUAAAGCAUUGCUUUCAGAUUGGAAUUACAUGUGUUAUAAUUUGUUUGGUCAUAGUAACUCUUU
Molecule: RNA transcript, 2793 nt
Organism: Oryza brachyantha (malo sina)
Lineage: Eukaryota; Viridiplantae; Streptophyta; Magnoliopsida; Poales; Poaceae
Gene name: pentatricopeptide repeat-containing protein At2g30780-like
Exons: 3
Source: RefSeq, a predicted model, not a curated record